This 56-nucleotide transfer RNA is filed under the name Laemobothrion maximum. RNAcentral describes it as "tRNA-Asn". Lineage: Eukaryota; Metazoa; Arthropoda; Insecta; Psocodea; Laemobothriidae. The record is from RNAcentral.
AAAAGAGGCGCAUUGCUGUUAACAAUGUAAGUGAAUUAAAGUAAUUCUAUCUAUUU